Molecule: signal recognition particle RNA, 245 nt
Filed under: human gut metagenome
Description: Bacterial large signal recognition particle RNA
Rfam family: Bacterial large signal recognition particle RNA
About the family: The signal recognition particle (SRP) is a universally conserved ribonucleoprotein involved in the co-translational targeting of proteins to membranes. Archaeal SRP consists of a 7S RNA and homologues of the eukaryotic SRP19 and SRP54 proteins.
Source: RNAcentral
AGCCGGGGUGGUAGCGGUACCUUGAACCAACAAUCCGCUAUAGUUGGGGUGAUGUCUUGUAGAGGAUUUUCGGCGGUAGAGCCGCCCUUCAUAAGUGGCGUUGAUGCCUGGGUCUCGCGCAACAGAACUCUGUGAACCGGGUCAGGAUGGGAACAUAGCAGCCCUAAGCGGAACCUUCUGUGUGCCGCGAGGGUGCCUGGGCUGAGUUAACUGUGGAGGUAACGUCUAUUGUCGGGAUUCGAAGC